RNAcentral lists this long non-coding RNA (2809 nucleotides) under Delphinapterus leucas (beluga whale). Its description in RNAcentral is "lncRNA (ENSDLEG00000009724.1)". The record is from RNAcentral. Lineage: Eukaryota; Metazoa; Chordata; Mammalia; Artiodactyla; Monodontidae.
GGCGAAGCUGCCCAAAGAAAGGGCUUUCGAUGGGAACUUAAAUAAGUUAGGGGAGCAGAGGUGGGGUGGAGCUCCCCAGGCAGAGAGAUGAAGAUGGGGAAGGUCAGGUGUGUCCCGACCAGAAGCAUCCUGGAGAGGUGGGCUGUGUGGGUUUAAGUGGCUUCAGGGUUGGGCCGCACGCUCUCGCUGGGAAACUCGGGUGCUCCUGCUACAACUUGCCCCCUCCCUCUCAGGUCAGCCAGUUCCAGACUGGGAAGCUUGUGGCUCAAGGCAGCCGGAAGUGGAAACUGCUCAGCUGGAGCGCUUGCUGAGCAACGACGUCUGCUCUCUGGGCCUCCGAGUUCCCAUCAGCACGAAUACCACAGGAACUCCCAAGACUGUCGUCACCGGUGUGGGUGACCACUCUAGCCUCCACGUGCAACACGUGUACGCCAUUGGGUAGAGGCUGCUGGCGCCCGGCCAGGCGGGCGCGAUGGGCGGGCGGCGGCCUAGUCCUGGGCCCGGAGCCCCAAGCGAAGGCCCACUGCCGCCCGCCGCAGCCCCGCCCUCCCCCGGCUCGGGGCGGAGCCUCCGUCUGGCCGCCCCUUUAUCUGCCCGCUUGUAGCCGGGAUGCAGAGGGCCGCCGAGGGCCGCCGGGUCGCAGUGGGGCCUCCUUUUGCAACUCGUCAGUAGAGGACAGAAGCCAAUCAAAUUUGCCUCACAUCCAUGAACCAGGCCCUGGACACCUGGUCUCAGCCCAGCUUUGCCCGCCUUGCUGUGUGAUCUUGGAUGAGGAAAGGCCAGAGACCAGAGCUGACUCCAGAAUGUAAUGCAGGAGGAGCUCAGGGAUGCAAAUCAGGCUCGGGCUGUGGAGGUGUGUGGGCUGGGGGCUUGUCUUGAUGUUGCCUUUGCAUAGCAAGCACAUUGCAUUUACUUGGACCAUGUGCGAAUUAUUGGGUGGCUUUGGGGGUGAUCACGGUGCUGCUGGUGGCGGGGAACUUGAGUGCAGAUCUUCUUGCCUCUUAGAAUGACUGGUGCAAAGGAAGUUGCAAUAAAUAUCUGAUGAACGAUGGACAGAGUACAUCUGGCUGCCGAGUCCAAUAAGCUUCUUGGGGGAGAAUCUGAGGGAGGGGAGUUGUCUGUCUAGCUGGUUGUCUGGCUAGUUUUUCAACAGAUAUUUGAUUUAAUGAAUGAAACAGUGAAUAAUGAUAAGCCUGAAUUAAGCAAUUGGUACCAGGCAAAAGCAGUAUAUAAUUAUGAAAUGAUUAAUAGUACUUGCCACCUUGUUUUGCAAAGGGCAAUUUAAGGAAGUGGUUAAGAUUGCAAACUGAGUUUAUAUCAUGCCUCUGCCACUUCCUAGGCAGGGUACUUAACUUCUCUGUGCCUCAGUUUCCUUAUCUGAAAAAUGGGCAUAAUGAUAAUACCUAUCUGAUAGGGUGCUAUGAUGCUUAAAUGAGUCAAAUAUGCAUAACGUGCUUAAGACACUGACACAUAGCACAUGCUGUGUAAGCAUUUGCUAUGCUUUGUUUUCCUCUCUGUUACCUCUACCAUAUCAUGAAGUUCCUGAAGGUAGGGAUCAAGUUCUUUUCUACUCUCCUGCCCACCCCCACCUUUGGGACCCGGCACAGGACAUGAAGCAGAGAAGGGGCUCAGUAAGUGUUUGCUAAAUGAAUGAAUGUGUUUUAAAUGCUAAAUUGUAUAACCCAUUAUAGAUCUCCCACAGGGAGAAGUAAGGGGGCAUUAAGGAAGUCCCCUGGAGGUGGCAGCUUGUACUGGUUUUAAAGGAUUUCAGUAGAGGGAAAGGAAGUUGGCACAGGGUCUGACAUUUGGGUUAGGUGGGAAAUGAGGGUGGGAGCAGGUCAUGGGGUCUUGAAUGCCAGGUGAGGGGUUAGAUUGGAUUUAUUUGCAAUUAGCAAUGGUGGAAGGGCUGGAGGGGGGACCUUUUGAGUGAGGGUGUGGCUGAGGGAAAGGGCUGUUUUUAUAGGAUCAGUUGUUUCUAGGGUCUUUUGGGAAAAAAGUGGCUUUUCGAGUUGGGCCUUGAAGGCUAUGAAGUAUUAUCAGGAUGCUAUUAUGUUGUUUUUUCAUUCAACAAACAUUGAGCACCAGCUACCUGCUAAGCACCAGGGGUUCACAAAAUAAUAAGACAAACUGCCUACCCUGGAGGAGCUCACAUUAACAAUUUAAUGCCCGUGAGAAGUAUUAUAAUGGUCAAAGGAUUGUAGGCACUCAAGUUAGAGGGAUCAUUAUCGGAGGACCUCCAGGGAAAGUGUCACAGAAGAAAUGGGUUUUGAGGGAUGAAUAGGAGUUUGCCAGAUGGGCAAGAUGAGGUAAAUGGCUCAGAUGGAGGGAAUAGCUUGUGCAGAGCUAUAGACAUGUGAAACAGCAGGCCCACGGUUUUGAUGAGGCUCUGGCUGGAUGUGAAAUGCACUGUGGUUGAGUAAUAAGGCUAGGAAAGGUAGUAGGGACCAGAUCAUGUAGGGUGAUGGAGGGUCAAUGGCAGACCCUGGCCACUCUGAAGGAGUUAAAGGUAGAGGCAGCAGGUCUGUUAGCAAGGUCAUUGUCAGGUAAACACUGAUGGCAACAUGAACACAGGAGAAAACAGUGAGGGUUGCUGUAUAGAGCCUGGACUGGAAAGAAGUAGGAUGACAUAGUGAGCCUCUUUAACACAGGCCUCAAACAUUUACUGAACACCUACUAUGUGCCAGGCACUGUUCUAGGCACUUGAGAUACAUCAGGGAGAAGAACAAUCAUGAGUCAGAGCUGAGCUCCCCCUUAGGACAACUCCCCUCCUCUUAAACUCAGUGUAGGGAUAAGGGGGUGGGGAAGAGCA